GCCCAGCCGUAAACUUAGAUAGAAAAAUACUACCUAUCCGCCAGAGAACUACAAGCAAAAUACUUAAAACUCAAAGGACUUGGCGGCAUUCCACAUCAACCUAGAGGAGCCCGUCCAAUAAUCGAUAAUACACGCUCAACCCCACCAUUUUUGGCCAUUCCAGCCUAUAUACCGCCGUCGCCAGCUAACCUUGUGAAAGAAAAGUAGUAAGCACAAUAGCCCUCACUAAAACGUCAGGUCAAGGUGUAGCUCAUAAAAUGGAUGUGAUAGGCUACAUUUUCUACCAUAGAAAACACGAAAAAUACAAUGAAACCUUGUAAUGGAAGGCGAAUUUAGAAGUAAAAUAAGAAAGGAUCCCUAUUUUAACACUGCCCUGGAAUGCGCACAC
This 388-nucleotide ribosomal RNA is filed under the name Hemicordylus capensis (graceful crag lizard). RNAcentral describes it as "partial 12S ribosomal RNA". It matches the Rfam family "Bacterial small subunit ribosomal RNA", at positions 794 to 1388 of the family's 1533-position model. Lineage: Eukaryota; Metazoa; Chordata; Lepidosauria; Squamata; Cordylidae. The record is from RNAcentral.